GGUUGUAUAGUGUAGCGGUUAUCACACCAGAUUCUGACACUCGUUCAGUCAAGUCAGGUCCUUCUGGUAACCCCGGUUCGAUUCCGGGUACGACCU
This is a non-coding RNA of Rhypophila decipiens, 96 nucleotides long. Lineage: Eukaryota; Fungi; Ascomycota; Sordariomycetes; Sordariales; Naviculisporaceae. The record is from the annotation of a GenBank genome assembly.